AAGUUCCCUCACAUGAUCUGUGGUAAUACAACUAACAACAACAUUAUUUUCUCUGUAUCUUUAUAUUGAAUUUGCCAUCAUUUUUUUUUUUUUUUUUUUUUGAGACAGAGUCUCGCUUUGUCGCCAGGUGCCAAGUUAGAGUGCAGUGGCGUGAUCUCGGCUCACUACAACCUCUGCCUCCCGGAUUCAAGCAAUUCUCCUGCCUCAGCCUCCCGCGUAGCUGGGACUGCAGGUGUAUCAUGUUAAGACUGCUUCAUCAAUUUACCACUUGGCAACUCUUACAACAACAGGAAAAAACAACAACAACCAGAAAGUGCAAGAAGAACUAGUGCACUAGUACUGGUGUUACCCAACAAAAGCCAUGUUACUACGAGGCCGUCUUUAUGAACUUUCCCACCAGAGCACCCUGGCCUCCCUUGUAUGUUUCCAGCUUCUGGUAAGAACUACUCAAGUCUCCUUUCAGUGGCACCUUUAGGAUUUCUGUAUGGGUGAGACUCAAGGGCAGGCAUGAGGUUUGAAAAUUGGCUGUUUUUUUUUUUUUUUUUUUU
RNAcentral lists this long non-coding RNA (548 nucleotides) under Aotus nancymaae (Ma's night monkey). RNAcentral's name for it is "lncRNA (ENSANAG00000038935.1)". Lineage: Eukaryota; Metazoa; Chordata; Mammalia; Primates; Aotidae. The record is from RNAcentral.